Molecule: ribosomal RNA, 445 nt
Filed under: uncultured bacterium
Lineage: Bacteria
Description: bacterial SSU rRNA
Rfam family: Bacterial small subunit ribosomal RNA
Source: RNAcentral
CAGGGAAUCUUGCACAAUGGGCGAAAGCCUGAUGCAGCGACGCCGCGUGGGGGAUGAAGGCCUUAGGGUCGUAAACCCCUUUCAGCAGGGACGAAAAUGACGGUACCUGCAGAAGAAGCUCCGGCCAACUACGUGCCAGCAGCCGCGGUAAGACGUAGGGGGCGAGCGUUGUCCGGAUUUAUUGGGCGUAAAGAGCUCGUAGGCGGUUGCGUAAGUCGGAUGUGAAAACUCAGGGCUCAACCCUGAGACGCCAUCCGAUACUGCGCUGACUUGAAUCCAGUAGGGGAGUGUGGAAUUCCUGGUGUAGCGGUGAAAUGCGCAGAUAUCAGGAGGAACACCCAUGGCGAAGGCAGCACUCUGGGCUGGUAUUGACGCUGAGGAGCGAAAGCAUGGGUAGCGAACAGGAUUAGAUACCCCAGUAGUCCCUGAGCGGGCUGGCAAGGCG